RNA transcript from Nicotiana tabacum (common tobacco), 4179 nucleotides. RefSeq lists it as uncharacterized. NCBI's taxonomy places the organism in Eukaryota, Viridiplantae, Streptophyta, Magnoliopsida, Solanales, Solanaceae. The record is from RefSeq and is a predicted model, not a curated record.
GUGGAUGUCGGUUUAGUAAUAAAAUCGAUGAGCAAAGCAUUAGGUGUGUUUCCACGGCCCAUAUUCCAAUUCCGAUGUCCCCUUUUCUAGUGCGUACAUACAAGCAAGGGAAGAAUUAUCAGCGUACUGAAGAGAUUUCUAAACUCAAAAUCACAGUUUUUUUUUUCUUGUUUCGUACUUCAGAAUCAGCAUCUAUAUUUUGCAGCUCAUCAAUUCUUUCUUCUUCAGGUAGCCAGCGACUAGACAGCUUUGGAUGAUAUACUGAUGGCACUUCUUCCUACGUCAUCUUUUGGAUUGUCGUCAGAGUCCUUGGAACAAAGUGGGAAGCAGAUGGCAAACACAAACACGAAAGCACUAACACCUCUCUCUCUGCAAAGCUCAAAUUCUUCACAGGGACCGGUGGCAAUUCUUUGGGACAUCGAGAACUGUCCUGUUCCAAGUGAUGUACGCCCUGAGGAUGUUGCUGGCAACAUCAGAAUGGCUCUACGGGUACAUCCUGUGAUCAAAGGAGCAGUUACAAUGUUUUCUGCCUUUGGAGAUUUUAAUGCUUUUCCUAGGCGAUUAAGAGAGGGCUGCCAGAGAACUGGUGUUAAACUUAUAGAUGUCCCCAAUGGCAGGAAAGAUGCAGCCGACAAGGCCAUCUUGGUUGACAUGUUCCUUUUUGCUCUUGACAAUCCCCCACCCUCGUCCAUUAUGCUAAUAUCAGGAGAUGUUGAUUUUGCUCCCGCACUUCACAUUCUUGGUCAACGUGGAUAUACUAUGAUCCUUGUCAUUCCUGCAGGGGUUGGUGUUUCGUCUGCUCUAUGUAAUGCUGGGAGGUUUGUAUGGGACUGGCCAAGUGUGGCUCGAGGUGAAGGUUUUGUGCCCCCGGCAAAGGCCUUCAUUCCUUGUCGUGGUGGUGGUGUCUCAGACAUUGCUGGGAUUCUAAUGGGUUGCUGCCAGAUAAAUGACAGCCCAUAUGGUCAGAAUGAAGAUGAAGCAAUAGUGUAUAGGGGCCUCUCACAGAGCUACUAUAAUGCAAGGGAUUUCUCAAUAAUAUCACAUUCGCUGGCUGAGUAUAAUAGCACUUCAAUUUCCACGCCAUGUUAUCCUACGGGUAUGAGAACUCAGAGUCUUCCACCUGGUUUAAAUGAAGUUUCAGCUGGAGGUCCAUCUUCACAUGACCAGAGUGACUUGACGUGGGUGCAGCCUGGGGAUGUAAAUGGUUUGAAGGGUCAGCUGGUGAAGCUGCUUGAAUUAUCUGGGGGCUGCUUGCUUCUUACACGUGUUCCUGCAGAAUACCAGAGAAUUUACGGGAGGCCACUGUAUGUUUCAGAAUAUGGGGCAGUUAAGCUCGUGAAUCUUUUCAAGAAGAUGAGUGAUGCAAUAUCUAUCGGGGGGAAAGGCCAAAAGAAGUUUGUCUACCUCCAUAAUUCAUGUGCUGUACCAAGUGCUCCUCCCAUAACUAUAUUAAAGAGGGAUAAAGGAAAAGGAACACAAGAGGGAAAUGCCGAAGUUGUGACUGGGGUUGGAUCUUCGGAUGAGUUCUCGGAUGAUGAAAGAGUACUCAUAGAAGAGCAUGGAAGCAGUCGUGAGAAAUCUGAUAUGGGUGCAACAGUUGAAAAAAGUCUUGAAAAUUUCAAGUUUGAGCUUCAAGAGAUACUUGUGAGCUACUCUUGUCGGAUUUUUCUUGGUUGCUUUGAGGCAAUAUAUCAACAAAGGUACAAGAGGCAACUAGACUAUGAGAGCUUUGGGGUGGCUGAACUUGAGCAGCUACUAGCAAAGGUGAAAGAUGUAGUGAUUGUGCAAGAGGAGCCAGUUAGCAAGAGGAAGUUUCUGGCUGCUGUUGGUGGCUAGAAGUGUUUGUCAUUUCAUUUCCUGACUAUUUACUAUCUUAACUCCUUGGGACUUGAGAGGUUCCAAUGUAACACCAGAAUGCUGAAACUGAUCUAACCACAGAUCUCUGUGUAUAUUUACCUCUCGCUGCUUUCAUCUAAAUACAUGGUCGAAGGUUAAAUUAUUCAAGCUAGUCUGUGUGGGAGGUGCCUUUUUUUCUCUCAUCGUGGUAAAGCAGAAUUUUCAUUAUAGGAUUUUUUUUUUUAGUAGUAACUUGGAUCUGAAUUUUGCUUCUAAAUUCAGUGAGAUGCAUUUCUCUCCUCAUUUCCUUCCCAAGUCUAUGAAAUAGUCAAAGUUUUUCUCAAGUGUAUUUGCUGUGAGAAAGCUUUUCUUGAGCCGAGGGUCAACUUUUCUAUCUUCACAAGGUUUAGGGGUAAGGUUUGCGUACACACUAUCUUCCCUAGACCCCUCUCAAGUGUAUUUGCUGUGAGAGUGUUGAACACUCUUAGCUCAUCUCAUGGUUCUUGCAAACUCUCUGCAGCAAAGAGACUGUUAUCGAAGGUAAGCAAUCUGGCUGUUCAAUUUUGAAACUUUGAGUAAACUGAGUUAGGUUCCUAAGGAACAACUGCUUAACCAUUAUCUUUCACGUAUAAAGAAUACUUUUUUCUUAAAAAAGAGCUGGAAUUUUAGAUUACUUUUUUUCCAAAAGAAUUCUGAAUGUGCUCUCUCUUGGACUCUCUUUUACAAACAAUUGUAACUUUCAAGCCCAACCUGAAGCUGCAUCCUGGAAGGGUUUCAUUGGAAUCACCGAUCACGUCAACUUACUUCCGUUUUAAGUUAAUUAUGACUGGGCUGCUGUACUCAUUUUGAUUUAAGACCUUUUUCUUUUAUAUUAUGUUUUAUCAUCUUAGUAGCCUUUAUAUUUUCUAGACAGUAAAGAACAAUACUUACCAGUUUGAUUGAGUCAAGUUGUUGGGAGUAGUGAAACUCUACCUCUUCGUGAAGGCUCUUAAGAUUACCGGGGGAAGAGAUGCAAGAACCAUAUCUAGCAUGCUCCAAAAAGUUCUUGGUAAAUUUUUUACUAUUACAGGGGGUGGGGGGUGGCGGCUAACUAGUUUGAUUAAGCUGUUCCUCUUGGGUGUUUGCCAUAUGGUGAGAGGUCAAUGAGAAGGUGGAGAUACCAAAAUCAAUUAGCAACAUUUCUCGAGGCAUAUGAAUCCGUUUUUCCAUUUUUUUUAUUUGGUAUAUUCUGAUUGUUGAGCACUAUGAAAGGACAAUGUGGAUGUAUUCACCUGCUAAGGAAAGAAGUGAGCUUUCAUGAUGGAAAGCAUUGCAUGCUGGCCGUGUGGCUGAUUCACAGUUGCAUGCCCAAUUUAUGUCUUGGUGUAUCUUACUACUAAUGUGAAAUUCUUAAUAUUACUUUUAGUCCCUUCUUAGUUACAUCUGACAAUGUUAUCUUAUCUGCCAUUGGCAUUUCCAGCUUAAGCCUUGUGCAUUGGAGGGAUGUUGAAGUUAUAGAAGACCUCUCCAUUCUAAUGCUUCCAUGAUGGUGUCAAUUAUGGCAGGCCAGUCUUGCAAAAGCAGAUUUUUUGUCACUUCUUUCAAUUAGGUGACGGUUUGUGUACCGUAUUGAAGCUCCUGCAGAAGUCUGUAAUGGCAAGGAUAGUAAACUUUGGUUUGGGAAAUACGUGAAGGGUAAAGGUCCCAAAUGUGAUCGAUAGCUUACCUCGUAUUACCAUCCAUAUCUGAAAUGAGCUUUAAGUGCAUGUCGAGCAGCUAUAAAGGAUUGAAUCUGGCCGCUCGAACAUCUAAAUGGGUGGAGAUAUGCGACCGACUAUACAAGGAUUAGUUGGCUAUCAGCAGCAAUAGUGCAUAGAGUCGUAGAGUCCAUAUGAUCGCACAUCAUAUACAGUAGCUUGAACAGUUGGUCGAGGACUUCAGUCAUAUAGUUGUAUGCACUUUGAUAUUGCUGCUUGAGGUGUAAAGUUUGUCAUGGAACUCCAGCUAUGUUUAUCCUUUGAAUUGUUUCAUUUUGUGGACAAUCAUGGCAAUACUUUAAUCGCAUAGUUUGGAUAUUUAGGUUAGACAUUGGUAGGGGCACUUGCUCCGUGUAACUGAAGCUUGCUACUUGCAGAAUCAUCAUAGAAAGGUUUCUGAAACAAAUAUCCUCUCCAAAGGUUGUGGUUUUGCAAGGGAUAUCGUUUAACAACUUCUAUUGCUCUUUGUCAAUGUAACUUGGAGCUAUUUGUUUACGUUUGUAUGAAACAUUUGUUCUGUAAGGUGAAUUAUGCUAUAUGUGUGCUUGGAAGGAUUGUUGUAUAUCCCUCACAGAUGUUCAUUUGUCAGUAAAUUUUCAUUUGGCAA